UCCUUGAUGGCUCAGAUGGAUAGAGCAUCUGCCAUGUAAGCAGGAGAUCCCGGGUUCGAGUCCCGGUCAGGGCA
Molecule: transfer RNA, 74 nt
Filed under: Schistocerca americana (American grasshopper)
Lineage: Eukaryota; Metazoa; Arthropoda; Insecta; Orthoptera; Acrididae
Description: tRNA-Thr
Rfam family: tRNA
About the family: Transfer RNA (tRNA) molecules are approximately 80 nucleotides in length. Their secondary structure includes four short double-helical elements and three loops (D, anti-codon, and T loops). Further hydrogen bonds mediate the characteristic L-shaped molecular structure. tRNAs have two regions of fundamental functional importance: the anti-codon, which is responsible for specific mRNA codon recognition, and the 3' end, to which the tRNAs corresponding amino acid is attached (by aminoacyl-tRNA synthetases). tRNAs cope with the degeneracy of the genetic code in two manners: having more than one tRNA (with a specific anti-codon) for a particular amino acid; and 'wobble' base-pairing, i.e. permitting non-standard base-pairing at the 3rd anti-codon position.
Source: RNAcentral